UGUGUUUGUGUGUCAGUGUAGCGAAGGGAGAGAGCAGUGACCCCACCCGGUCUUGAACACAGGUUUCCAAACUAAAGUUUACAGUUGGGAUCCUCCAGAAGAGAAGAAAGAUGCUUCACUCCUGAGUCUCCUGCUUUAUUCCAUCUCAGCUGCAGCUCUCUCAUGUGUGAGGGGUUUGAUCUCAGUGCUGAUGCAAGAGCUCUGAAGCCUUCAUCUCCAAUACUGCAGUCUGACAGACUGUAGAGAGAAUUUACAGUUGGGAUCCUCCAGAAGAGAAGAAAGAUGCUUCACUCCUGAGUCUCCUGCUUUAUUCCCACUCAGCUGCAGCUCUCUCAUGUGUGAGGGGUUUGAUCUCAGUGCUGAUGCAAGAGCUCUGAAGCCUUCAUCUCCAAUACUGCAGUCUGACAGACUGUAGAGAGAAUUUACAGUUGGGAUCCUCCAGAAGAGAAGAAAGAUGCUUCACUCCUGAGUCUCCUGCUUUAUUCCCACUCAGCUGCAGCUCUCUCAUGUGUGAGGGGUUUGAUCUCAGUGCUGAUGCAAGAGCUCUGAAGCCUUCAUCUCCAAUACUGCAGUGUGACAGACUGUAGAGAGAAAAAGGAGAGAGCAGUGACCCCACCUGGUCUCAAACACGGGUCUCCAAACUAAACAUGCAACUUGUGUUUGUGUGUGUGUGUGUGAAGUACAUUGUCAUCUUGAGAGCCCCUUCUCUGGCAUCACUCUCAUCCUGCUCUUUACCCUCAACGUUUUCUUGGUAAUCUGGACUCAGAAUCUUCUUGAAUCUCUUCAGCUCAUUCUUCACAAAGUCCAUUAUCUUCUCCUCAAGCACCUGGAGCUGUUGUGUACCACUGCUGUCGGUCUGAGUCUCCGCCCUUCCUCUGGCUGCUCCUGGUUCUCACCUGCUCACCUCUCACCUGCUUCCACUGGUGUCUCUGAUCUGCCUACCAAUCAGCCUCAAUCAGCCUGCAUCUGAUUGCAAUUUCAGCUGGCUUUAAAAUCCCCAUUACCAGUCUGCCUCCCUGUCAGAAUGUUCCCGUAGCAGUUCUCGAGUGCGACCUGCCUGCCUGACUGACUGAGUUUUUGCCUGCCUGGUUUUGACCUCUGCCUGAUUUUCAUCGGCUGUGUU
Molecule: long non-coding RNA, 1123 nt
Organism: Alosa alosa (allis shad)
Lineage: Eukaryota; Metazoa; Chordata; Actinopteri; Clupeiformes; Clupeidae
Exons: 7
Source: RefSeq, a predicted model, not a curated record